Molecule: ribosomal RNA, 404 nt
Filed under: uncultured bacterium
Lineage: Bacteria
Description: bacterial SSU rRNA
Rfam family: Bacterial small subunit ribosomal RNA
Source: RNAcentral
UGGGGAAUAUUGGACAAUGGGGGAAACCCUGAUCCAGCAAUGCCGCGUGAGUGAAGAAGGCCUUAGGGUUGUAAAGCUCUUUCAGCAGGGAAGAUAAUGACGGUACCUGCAGAAGAAGCCCCGGCUAACUCCGUGCCAGCAGCCGCGGUAAGACGGAGGGGGCUAGCGUUGUUCGGAAUUACUGGGCGUAAAGGGCGCGUAGGCGGUCCUUCAAGUUAGACGUGAAAGCCCUGGGCUUAACCUAGGAAUUGCGUUUAAUACUGGAGGGCUAGAGAUUGGUAGAGGGAAAUGGAAUUCCUAGUGUAGAGGUGAAAUUCGUAGAUAUUAGGAAGAACACCAGAGGCGAAGGCGGUUUCCUGGGCCAAAUCUGACGCUGAGGCGCGAAAGCGUGGGGAGCAAACAGG